GAUGAAGAACGCAGCGAAAUGCGAUAAGUAAUGUGAAUUGCAGAAUUCAGUGAAUCAUCGAAUCUUUGAACGCACAUUGCGCCCCCUGGUAUUCCGGGGGGCAUGCCUGUUCGAGCGUCAUUUCACCACUCAAGCCUCGCUUGGUAUUGGGCAACGCGGUCCGCCGCGUGCCUCAAAUCGACCGGCUGGGUCUUCUGUCCCCUAAGCGUUGUGGAAACUUUCGCUAAAGGGUGUUCGGGAGGCUACGCCGUAAAACAGCCCCAUUUCUAAGGUUGACCUCGGAUCAGGUAGGGAUACCCGCUGAACUUAAGCAUAUCAAUAAGCGGAGGA
RNAcentral lists this unclassified non-coding RNA (330 nucleotides) under soil metagenome. RNAcentral's name for it is "partial contains 5.8S ribosomal RNA, internal transcribed spacer 2, and large subunit ribosomal RNA". The stretch from base 1 to 120 matches the Rfam family "5.8S ribosomal RNA", at positions 35 to 154 of the family's 154-position model. The record is from RNAcentral.